GGGGCCGACCGGUUUUGACAGCGAUAAGGUUGGUGUAGUAAGCAUGUCGGGUGUUGGAAAGAUCAUCCGUGACCAAAUUUUCCAACUUUUACUAGGCGAAUCAAACUUCGCGCUAGCAGCUUAAGUUAGACUUAAGCAGCAGCUGUCUCGGUUGCAACAGCGUCUUACAGUGUAACUAAUGAGGCAUCAUCAGGUAAGAAUAAGCUAAGGGUUUUCUCGGCCCACAGACGAAAACCUCAGAGGAUAAGAACCAGUUAGGUCGUCUCUUGCCGGACUGGUUUCGAAAAUUAAUAUGAGAAUACACAUGUAGAAAGCUCAUCGGACUAUUGUUUGGACGAGGGUUCGAAUCCCUCCGGCUCCACCA
Molecule: transfer-messenger RNA, 364 nt
Filed under: Flavobacteriales bacterium
Lineage: Bacteria; Pseudomonadati; Bacteroidota; Flavobacteriia; Flavobacteriales
Rfam family: transfer-messenger RNA
About the family: Bacterial tmRNA, also known as 10Sa RNA or SsrA, is named for its dual tRNA and mRNA-like properties. Its role is to liberate the mRNA from a stalled ribosome.
Source: RNAcentral